Molecule: ribosomal RNA, 740 nt
Filed under: uncultured Russula
Lineage: Eukaryota; Fungi; Basidiomycota; Agaricomycetes; Russulales; Russulaceae
Description: eukaryotic LSU rRNA
Rfam family: 5.8S ribosomal RNA (bases 255-408)
Source: RNAcentral
CUUGGUCAUUUAGAGGAAGUAAAAGUCGUAACAAGGUUUCCGUAGGUGAACCUGCGGAAGGAUCAUUAUCGUACAACCGAGGUGCAAGGGCUGUCGCUGACCGUCAAAGGUCGUGCACGCCCGAGCGCUCUCACACAAUCCAUCUCACCUUUGUGCAUCACCGCGUGGGUCCCCUUUCCGGGAGGGCUUGCGUUUUCACAUAAAAACUCGAUACAGUGUAGAAUGUUUCUUUUGCGGUCACACGCAAUCAAUACAACUUUCAACAACGGAUCUCUUGGCUCUCGCAUCGAUGAAGAACGCAGCGAAAUGCGAUACGUAAUGUGAAUUGCAGAAUUCAGUGAAUCAUCGAAUCUUUGAACGCACCUUGCGCCCCUUGGCAUUCCGAGGGGCACACCCGUUUGAGUGUCGUGAAAUCAUCAAAACCUUCUCUUUGACCCUCUUUGGUUGGGAAAAGGAUUUUAGGACUUGGAGGUUCCAUGCUCGCCUUCACUUUUGAAAGCGAGCUCCUCUCAAAUGAAUUAGUGGGGUCCGCUUUGCUGGUCCUUGACGUGAUAAGAUGUUUCUACGUUUUGGAUUUAGCACUGUCCCUUGGAUGCCUGCUCCUAACUGUCUCACGGACAAUGAUGGUGCUCUGGUCACUGCCAUCUACAUUGGCGGGAGGCUGGACCCACAAAAGAAAACCUUGACCUCAAAUCGGGUGAGACUACCCGCUGAACUUAAGCAUAUCAAUAAGCGGAGGA